AGAAGUUUGAUCCUGGCGUCAGGAUGAAACGCUGGCGGCGUGCUUAACACGUGCAAGUCGAACGGACCCAUAUUGAAACCUAGUGAUAGUAUGGGGUUAGUGGCGGACGGGUGAGUAACGCGUGGGUAACCUGCCUUACACAGGGGGAUAACACUUAGAAAUAGGUGCUAAAACCGCAUAAGCGCACAGCUUCGCAUGAAGCGGUGUGAAAAACUCCGGUGGUGUAAGAUGGACCCGCGUCUGAUUAGCUUGUUGGCGGGGUAACGGCCCACCAAGGCGACGAUCAGUAGCCGGCCUGAGAGGGCGGACGGCCAUAUUGGGACUGAGACACGGCCCAGACUCCUACGGGAGGCAGCAGUGGGGAAUAUUGCACAAUGGGGGAAACCCUGAUGCAGCGACGCCGCGUGAGUGAAGAAGUAAUUCGUUACGUAAAGCUCUAUCAGCAGGGAAGAAAAUGACGGUACCUGAGUAAGAAGCCCCGGCUAACUACGUG
Molecule: ribosomal RNA, 493 nt
Filed under: uncultured Eubacteriales bacterium
Lineage: Bacteria; Bacillati; Bacillota; Clostridia; Eubacteriales
Description: bacterial SSU rRNA
Rfam family: Bacterial small subunit ribosomal RNA
Source: RNAcentral